UUCAGUUGGCAUCGCGAUGUUGUUCUCGACACUCAUUGGUAACUGUGCUCUCUCGUAAAGUAUACUGACUCAGUGUGAUUAUUUUCCGAAAAAUAAUGCGACGAGUUUUUUGAAGAUUUUUCCCGGACUAAGUGACGAUAUUAUGAGCUCGUAUCAGUUCGUGAACUCCCUGGCCCAGUGCUAUGGACAACAGGGUCGUGCAGGAGAUCACGCACAUCAAGCAGCCUCUCCUGGAGCUGAUUAUUACAACCCCAACGCAGCAGCAGCGGCUAGCUAUCCUCCAACAUGUUACUCGCCUCCCCAAGUAGGUCCUCAAGGAUACACACCUCACCCGUAUGCAACACCAGCCCCAGGACACGGACUUCAACCCAUGGGUGACUAUACUCAGCUCCAACCUCAGAGAAUACCUGGAGCUACCGCCAUGCAUCAUGCGAGUCCAGGAGGACAGAGUCCUGGAAUGCUCAGCGCUGCGGCUAGUUGUAAAUACGCUGACUCGACAUCAUCUACUGGAGUGGCGAGUCCUCAGGAUCUGAGCACUAACGCGCCUCCGGCGAGGAGUACUCCGCCUCUGGCAGGUGCUCAAGCGAGUAACAACUCGAACGCGACGAUAACUUCGAAGAGUUCGGGGUUGACGUCGCCGUUGUCAGUGAGUACUUCGCCUCAGGGGAAGGCAGGGGCUGCUUCGUCAACGGCGUCUCAGAAUUUGUCCUCGCCGGCUUCGAGUACGAGUUCGACUUCGAGUAAUGAACAGAAGGCAAGCACGAACAACAAUAACUCGAAAGGUGGGAGUUCGUCGAGUAAUCCUCCGCAGAUUUAUCCCUGGAUGAAGCGAGUACAUCUUGGACAAAGUACAGUGAACGCCAACGGCGAAACCAAACGCCAAAGGACGUCCUACACCCGGUACCAAACACUAGAGCUGGAAAAGGAGUUCCACUUCAACCGGUACCUGACGCGGCGACGGCGGAUAGAGAUCGCGCACGCGCUCUGCCUCACCGAGCGACAGAUCAAGAUCUGGUUCCAGAACCGGCGGAUGAAGUGGAAAAAGGAGCACAAGAUGGCCAGUAUGAAUAUCGUUCCAUAUCACAUGUCCCCCUACGGUCAUCCCUAUCAGUUUGAUUUGCAUCCCAGUCAGUUCGCCCAUCUAGCCACCUAGAAAUACAUGUGGCUUUGUGAAGCCGAUUUGCUAUAGUAGAUUGUGAUCUAUAAUCGUUUUUAUUAGAUUUCCACCUGGCCUCGCUCCAAGACGAAGGCUACGCAUUCCACCAGGCGAUGGGGAUGGGCGGCAUGGGUCCCAUGCAGCGCGGCCUGUACGCCUGCGGCACCCCCUACAGCUAGCCCUGGGCCGCCUAC
Molecule: unclassified non-coding RNA, 1350 nt
Filed under: Sitophilus oryzae (rice weevil)
Lineage: Eukaryota; Metazoa; Arthropoda; Insecta; Coleoptera; Curculionidae
Description: homeotic protein Sex combs reduced, transcript variant X2
Source: RNAcentral